CAGUCAUUUGACCCACCUGUGCAGUUUUAAAAAUAUUUUGAGUAAUGGAGACUGAGCUAAAACUCAGACUCUGAACAAUGAUUAGAUAAAUCUGUUAUUUAAAAGGAGUUCUCCUUCCCCUUGAAGAGGAGGGGAAAUUCUAAUAAAUCCCAGAGUGUUUGCAUUCUGUUUUUAUUUGAUUGCUAUGGCUGAGCUCCUUUGGUAUGUUAAAAUGAAAACUGCCUUUCCUGUGACAGUCA
RNAcentral lists this long non-coding RNA (239 nucleotides) under Homo sapiens (human). RNAcentral describes it as "HSALNT0065611". Lineage: Eukaryota; Metazoa; Chordata; Mammalia; Primates; Hominidae. The record is from RNAcentral.